UACGGAGGGUGCAAGCGUUAUCCGGAUUUACUGGGUUUAAAGGGUGCGUAGGCGGAUAGGUAAGUCAGUGGUGAAAUCCCCGAGCUCAACUUGGGAACUGCCGUUGAUACUAUUUAUCUUGAAUACCGUGGAGGUGAGCGGAAUAUGUCAUGUAGCGGUGAAAAGCUUAGAUAUGACAUAGAACAACGAUUGCGAAGGCAGCUCACUACGCGGUCAUUGACGGUGAGGCACGAAAGCGUGGGGAUGAAACAGG
This 253-nucleotide ribosomal RNA is filed under the name uncultured bacterium. RNAcentral describes it as "partial 16S ribosomal RNA". It matches the Rfam family "Bacterial small subunit ribosomal RNA", at positions 524 to 776 of the family's 1533-position model. The record is from RNAcentral.